Molecule: small RNA, 597 nt
Filed under: Pongo abelii (Sumatran orangutan)
Lineage: Eukaryota; Metazoa; Chordata; Mammalia; Primates; Hominidae
Description: retained intron
Source: RNAcentral
ACCUCCCCUUCUUGGAAGCCAGUACUCUGAGGUUUGGUUUGGAGUGGGGAGGUGGGGUUUUCCCUGGGCCCCCUUCAUCUCUCCACUGGGCGAUUCUUGAUCCAGGUGGGAGGCAGUGGGAGUAGGGAACCAUGCAGGACCAUUCUGGGAAGCUGUGCUGGCUGGGAGUUGGGUUCUGCCUUCCAUGGGGCACCUUGUUGUCUGUUGACCAUACUAGCUAGCUUACCUUCUCUCCUUGCAGGGCUGGGGAGCGGCCGGAGCUUUGCCGAGUGUCCCUUCCUGAGUUCCAGCAGUUCCUUCUUGACUACCAGGGGGAGCUGUGGGCUGUUGAUCGCCUCCAGGUGCAGGAGUUCAUGCUCAGCUUCCUCCGAGACCCCUUACGAGAGAUCGAGGAGCCAUACUUCUUCCUGGAUGAGUUUGUCACCUUCCUGUUCUCCAAAGAGAACAGUGUGUGGAACUCACAGCUGGAUGCAGUAUGCCCGGACACCAUGAACAACCCUCUUUCCCACUACUGGAUCUCCUCCUCGCACAACACGUACCUGACCGGGGACCAGUUCUCCAGUGAGUCCUCCUUGGAAGCCUAUGCUCGCUGCCUGC